ACAGGCGUCGCCUGGAGGUGUGAAGACUACCAUUCGCAUCGCCGUCGACAGUUUUGUCCGUAUGCCAACUUUGAAAAAAAUGCGUGCAAAAUGGUUUCGCGGUUUGGUGGCCGUGAGUCGANUUUUUUGUUUUCCCAUACAAAUGAAUUUUGCGGAAAAUGAAAAGUGGCCCGCGAGCCCCGUCUGGCGUGCGACCCACUAAAAGUGCGUCGGUGGGUAUGUGAGAGGGGGCAAACCAGCCAAGCCGGAANCGGCGAAAGCUGGGCCGCCCACCUACCUCUCAGUGGNUUCGUGCCGCACCAACGUACCUGAUCUUUCAGACCUGCACUGCGCAGCCGUCACAGUUCGUGAGGAGCUACUCGCUUACGGGCGGCUGUAGUGCAUGGUCGACCCCCACGAACGCGGCAGACCCGUUCUGCACGCCUACUGGGGAUACCUGUGGCGGUCAGGCUUGCCUGGCCCCCUCGGAUGGGCUCUGUGGAUAACUGGCCACUGGUCAAAUCUACAAACGAGCAGCAGGAGGCAACUGAGCAUGGCG
This 538-nucleotide ribosomal RNA is filed under the name fungal sp. RNAcentral describes it as "partial 28S ribosomal RNA". The record is from RNAcentral. Lineage: Eukaryota; Fungi.